RNAcentral lists this antisense RNA (65 nucleotides) under Citrobacter farmeri. RNAcentral describes it as "rdlD antitoxin". It matches the Rfam family "rdlD antitoxin". Lineage: Bacteria; Pseudomonadati; Pseudomonadota; Gammaproteobacteria; Enterobacterales; Enterobacteriaceae. RNAcentral also lists the same sequence under 1 other name. The record is from RNAcentral.
UUGAGGAUCAAGUUAGCCCCCGUUUUGUUGCCAGGUUUAGACCAAACAACGUGCGGGGGUUUUCU